GACGAACGCUGGCGGCGCGCUUAACACAUGCAAGUCGAACGGUAAGGCUCCAGCUUGCUGGGGUACACGAGUGGCGAACGGGUGAGUAACACGUGGGUGACCUGCCCUGCACUUCGGGAUAAGCCUGGGAAACUGGGUCUAAUACCGGAUAGGACCGCACCGUGAGGGUGUGGUGGAAAGUUUUUUCGGUGUGGGAUGGGCCCGCGGCCUAUCAGCUUGUUGGUGGGGUAAUGGCCUACCAAGGCGGCGACGGGUAGCCGGCCUGAGAGGGUGGACGGCCACAUUGGGACUGAGACACGGCCCAGACUCCUACGGGAGGCAGCAGUGGGGAAUAUUGCACAAUGGGCGGAAGCCUGAUGCAGCGACGCCGCGUGGGGGAUGACGGCCUUCGGGUUGUAAACUCCUUUCACCACCGACGAAGGGUUUCUGACGGUAGAUGGAGAAGAAGCACCGGCUAACUACGUGCCAGCAGCCGCGGUAAUACGUAGGGUGCGAGCGUUGUCCGGAAUUACUGGGCGUAACGAGCUCGUAGGUGGUUUGUCGCGUCGUCUGUGAAAUUCCGGGGCUUAACUCCGGGCGUGCAGGCGAUACGGGCAUAACUUGAGUACUGUAGGGGAGACUGGAAUUCCUGGUGUAGCGGUGAAAUGCGCAGAUAUCAGGAGGAACACCGGUGGCGAAGGCGGGUCUCUGGGCAGUAACUGACGCUGAGGAGCGAAAGCAUGGGGAGCGAACAGGAUUAGAUACCCUGGUAGUCCAUGCCGUAAACGGUGGGCGCUAGGUGUGGGUUUCCUUCCACGGGAUCCGUGCCGUAGCUAACGCAUUAAGCGCCCCGCCUGGGGAGUACGGCCGCAAGGCUAAAACUCAAAGGAAUUGACGGGGGCCCGCACAAGCGGCGGAGCAUGUGGAUUAAUUCGAUGCAACGCGAAGAACCUUACCUGGGCUUGACAUAUACAGGAUCGCGCCAGAGAUGGUGUUUCCCUUGUGGCUUGUAUACAGGUGGUGCAUGGUUGUCGUCAGCUCGUGUCGUGAGAUGUUGGGUUAAGUCCCGCAACGAGCGCAACCCUUGUCUUAUGUUGCCAGCACGUUGUGGUGGGGACUCGUAAGAAACUGCCGGGGUUAACUCGGAGGAAGGUGGGGAUGACGUCAAAUCAUCAUGCCCCUUAUGUCCAGGGCUUCACACAUGCUACAAUGGUCGGUACAGUGGGUUGCCAGUCCGUGAGGGCGAGCUAAUCCCGCAAAGCCGGUCUCAGUUCGGAUCGGGGUCUGCAACUCGACCCCGUGAAGUCGGAGUCGCUAGUAAUCGCAGAUCAGCAACGCUGCGGUGAAUACGUUCCCGGGCCU
RNAcentral lists this ribosomal RNA (1341 nucleotides) under uncultured bacterium. Its description in RNAcentral is "16S ribosomal RNA". It matches the Rfam family "Bacterial small subunit ribosomal RNA", at positions 28 to 1381 of the family's 1533-position model. The record is from RNAcentral.